GAGUUUGAUCAUGGCUCAGGAUGAACGCUAGCGGCAGGCCUAACACAUGCAAGUCGAGGGUAGAGGGUGCUUGCAUCCUUGAGACCGGCGCACGGGUGCGUAACGCGUAUGCAACCUGCCUUCCACAGGGGAAUAGCCCAGAGAAAUUUGGAUUAAUGCCCCCAUGGCACACCGAGACGGCAUCGUCUUGGUGUUAAAGUAACAACGGUGGAAGAUGGGCAUGCGUCCCAUUAGCUAGUUGGUAAGGUAACGGCUUACCAAGGCUAUGAUGGGUAGGGGUCCUGAGAGGGAGAUCCCCCACACUGGUACUGAGACACGGACCAGACUCCUACGGGAGGCAGCAGUGAGGAAUAUUGGUCAAUGGUCGCAAGACUGAACCAGCCAUGCCGCGUGCAGGAUGACGGUCCUAUGGAUUGUAAACUGCUUUUGUACGGGAAGAAACACUCCUACGUGUAGGGGCUUGACGGUGCCGUAAGAAUAGGAUCGGCUAACUCCGUGCCAGCCGCCGCAGU
This 512-nucleotide ribosomal RNA is filed under the name uncultured microorganism. Its description in RNAcentral is "bacterial SSU rRNA". It matches the Rfam family "Bacterial small subunit ribosomal RNA", at positions 9 to 521 of the family's 1533-position model. The record is from RNAcentral.